UCCCUGGAAAGGGGCGCCAGA
RNAcentral lists this small nuclear RNA (21 nucleotides) under Arabidopsis thaliana (thale cress). RNAcentral's name for it is "snRNA_16778". Lineage: Eukaryota; Viridiplantae; Streptophyta; Magnoliopsida; Brassicales; Brassicaceae. The record is from RNAcentral.